GCCGAGCCUAGUAACGUGGGCUUGUAACUAAGUAGGGCAUUAAAGUGGUUGGUUGUUUGAGAAGCCUUGUUAGAUGAGGUGUGGCAAUCUUGGACUGUUCACCUUGGUGAAGUCGCACAAAGCACGCCCCUUGCCCUCGGGUUAGUGGGGGGCAGCGAACCCCAACUUGAUAUUAGAUUGGGGUGUUAAUACUACACCUCACGGGUCAAGAGCCAUCACACCCCAGCGUGCUGCCUAGCUUGGCCUCUCAUCACACAAUCACUUUU
This 266-nucleotide small RNA is filed under the name Prunus dulcis (almond). RNAcentral describes it as "sRNA ncRNA". Lineage: Eukaryota; Viridiplantae; Streptophyta; Magnoliopsida; Rosales; Rosaceae. The record is from RNAcentral.